RNAcentral lists this ribosomal RNA (468 nucleotides) under uncultured bacterium. Its description in RNAcentral is "partial 16S ribosomal RNA". It matches the Rfam family "Bacterial small subunit ribosomal RNA", at positions 28 to 507 of the family's 1533-position model. The record is from RNAcentral.
GACGAACGCUGGCGGCGUGCUUAACACAUGCAAGUCGAACGGAAAGGCCCUGCUUUUGUGGGGUGCUCGAGUGGCGAACGGGUGAGUAACACGUGAGUAACCUGCCCUUGACUUUGGGAUAACUUCAGGAAACUGGGGCUAAUACCGGAUAGGAGCUCCUGCUGCAUGGUGGGGGUUGGAAAGUUUCGGCGGUUGGGGAUGGACUCGCGGCUUAUCAGCUUGUUGGUGGGGUAGUGGCCUACCAAGGCUUUGACGGGUAGCCGGCCUGAGAGGGUGACCGGCCACAUUGGGAUUGAGAUACGGCCCAGACUCCUACGGGAGGCAGCAGUGGGGAAUAUUGCACAAUGGGCGGAAGCCUGAUGCAGCAACGCCGCGUGCGGGAUGACGGCCUUCGGGUUGUAAACCGCUUUCGCCUGUGACGAAGCGUGAGUGACGGUAAUGGGUAAAGAAGCACCGGCUAACUACGUG